Molecule: ribosomal RNA, 444 nt
Filed under: uncultured prokaryote
Description: bacterial SSU rRNA
Rfam family: Bacterial small subunit ribosomal RNA
Source: RNAcentral
CCAACGGGGGGCAGCAGUGGGGAAUAUUGCACAAUGGGCGCAAGCCUGAUGCAGCCAUGCCGCGUGUGUGAAGAAGGCCUUCGGGUUGUAAAGCACUUUCAGCGAGGAGGAAGGCAGUCGUGUUAAUAGCACGAUUGAUUGACGUUACUCGCAGAAGAAGCACCGGCUAACUCCGUGCCAGCAGCCGCGGUAAUACGGAGGGUGCAAGCGUUAAUCGGAAUUACUGGGCGUAAAGCGCACGCAGGCGGGUUGUUAAGUCAGAUGGGAAAUCCCCGCGCUUAACGUGGGAACUGCAUUUGAAACUGGCAAGCUAGAGUCUUGUAGAGGGGGGUAGAAUUCCAGGUGUAGCGGUGAAAUGCGUAGAGAUCUGGAGGAAUACCGGUGGCGAAGGCGGCCCCCUGGACAAAGACUGACGCUCAGGUGCGAAAGCGUGGGGAGCAAACA